CAUAGCCACGGUAAUACGGAGGGUGCAAGCGUUAUCCGGAUUUACUGGGUUUAAAGGGUGCGUAGGCGGACUUGUAAGUCCGAGGUGAAAUCUCUGAGCUUAACUCGGAAACUGCCUUGGAUACUAUAGGUCUUGAAUCUCGUUGAGGUUUGCGGAAUAUGUCAUGUAGCGGUGAAAUGCUUAGAUAUGACAUAGAACACCUAUUGCGAAGGCAGCAGGCUACACAACUAUUGACGCUGAGGCACGAAAGCGUGGGGAUCAAACAGGAUUAGAUACCCCUGUAGUCCCUGUCUCUUAUACC
Molecule: ribosomal RNA, 301 nt
Filed under: uncultured bacterium
Lineage: Bacteria
Description: partial 16S ribosomal RNA
Rfam family: Bacterial small subunit ribosomal RNA
Source: RNAcentral